Molecule: transfer RNA, 85 nt
Filed under: Candidatus Omnitrophota bacterium
Lineage: Bacteria; Pseudomonadati; Candidatus Omnitrophota
Description: tRNA-Leu
Rfam family: tRNA
About the family: Transfer RNA (tRNA) molecules are approximately 80 nucleotides in length. Their secondary structure includes four short double-helical elements and three loops (D, anti-codon, and T loops). Further hydrogen bonds mediate the characteristic L-shaped molecular structure. tRNAs have two regions of fundamental functional importance: the anti-codon, which is responsible for specific mRNA codon recognition, and the 3' end, to which the tRNAs corresponding amino acid is attached (by aminoacyl-tRNA synthetases). tRNAs cope with the degeneracy of the genetic code in two manners: having more than one tRNA (with a specific anti-codon) for a particular amino acid; and 'wobble' base-pairing, i.e. permitting non-standard base-pairing at the 3rd anti-codon position.
Source: RNAcentral
GCGAGAGUGGCGGAACUGGCAGACGCUUACGGCUUAGGACCGUAUGCCUUUUUAAGGCUUGAGGGUUCGACUCCCUCCUCUCGCA